AUAAUGACAAUUAACCAUUACAUCCCAUCUUCCUUUGCCAGCUGAUACAUUUUUCUAUCCCACCCUUAUGCUGAUAUUGUAGCCUUUCAAAGUUCUAGCUCUAUUUGAACAGUUCAGUUCUUGUACUUCACUUGUGUAGGCUCUAUAGGGGGCUUCAGCUUCAAGAGUUUCUGUGUUUACUUACUGCUAUUUCCUUCUUUCUUGUUUGCUCAGACCCCUGAGGAUUUUCCUUCCCUUUUUCCAGUUAAGCUCUAUAUUUAAAAGGCCAUUUGUUAUAGUUUACCCAGUAUGUCAAGAUGUUUCUCUAAAUCUCUUAAGGUUUCAUAUUUGUGGAAAUGGUUCAUGUCUUUAAGAUAAAGGGGGAGGUAGGUAUUAAAUGGAAUUUUGUAAUGAAUCUCCAUAUUUUUGGCCACUAUUUUAUACCAUGAUCAAUUUUACCUAUUAAUAUUAAAUAAGAGUUGUCUGUAAUAGGCAUUCAGCAGUCAGUCCUCAAUAUUAGUACUUGGUAGAAAAUUGAAGUUUAAGGGAAGCUGAAAUCAUUCUUUAAAAAGAACACUAUAUAUUUAAUUACAUAAAUUCACCUGAAAUAAUUGGCUGCUUAAUUCAGCUUUUAGCUAUAGUGACUUUUUCUACAGAGACAGCAAUUCUAAUUGGGAGAUGAUUUGGGAAAUGAAAAAAAAUUAUUCCUUUCCUUUCUUAAUUUCCAUCUAUAUUCAGACUCAGAUUCUCAACAGGUCUAGAUUUUUGCCUCCUUCCCCAGGUGACACUUGGCGAUAUCUGUAGACUUUUUUGGGUAGGGGAGGGUGCUGGUGUCAUCUUGUGGGUAAAGUCCAGGGAUGCUGAUAAGAGUCCUAGAAUUCAACGGACAGCCCCUAAAACAAAGCAUUAUCUGGCCUAAAUUGUAAGUGAUGUUUUGGCUGAGAAACCCUAUUUAUAAAGGGAGUUAUAACUUAGUCACCUACCUGAAAUUGAUAAAUCUUAUUUAUAAACUGUAUUUUAAAUUAAAAUUACUCAUACACAUGGGAGAUUCAUACACAUGUACUUCCUUAACAAUUCUGGGUAUAUCUGUUAUUGAUGAAAGAAUACCUAGGGUACCAAGGUCAUCCCUCUCAUUAUCCAUAUAUAAGGUAUUUAAUUAGAACCAAUAAGCCAUUGAAAAGUGAACAAGUAGCUACAUUUAGCUUUAGCUUAGAUAUAUAAAACAAUCCAGUAAUUUUUGUUUUCUGAUAGUGAUAUAAUCAACCCAAUUUCAUCCCUUUAAUCUGUAUGGUAUAUAUAUACCUACCUUCCCCAUAAAAAGAACCCUACAUCUUUUUUAUAGAUGUCCUUAAGAAAUACAGAAUCAAGGUUUUAAAAAUAGAUUUUACCUUUUCUUAAAGGGUAGAAAACACAUAGAAUCUUCCUAACUAGUGAUGUAGUCAUGACACAAACAAGUUAGUUUUGAAGUAGUCCAUAUCACUUUUCCAUAUUCAUGUGCAUGUACUUCAUAUUUGUUUUUAUAUGUGUCAUGAAAAUGAAAGAUUUAUAGUAUUGCUUUCUCAUUGUGGUCUUUACUGAGCAGGGUACUUUCCUUCCUAUUAUUGUUUUUUCUUUUUUAAUUUAACAUUGUAAUCUUAAAAAUUUUUUUGACUUAAAAAUUGGAAAAACAGUAGAGUUAUUUUAUGCCUUUUACCAAGUUUCUCCUAAUGUGGACAUAUUAUGUAACAAUAGUAUAAUUGUCAAUAAAAGGAAAUCCAACAAUUAGUACAAUAUCACUAACUAAACUACAAAUCUUACUGGUUUUUCUAGCAAUGUCUUUUUCGUGUUCUAGGAUCCAAUGCAGCAUCCCAUGUUGCAUUUAGUUGAUAUGUCUCCUUAGUCUUCUCUCCUCUGCCAGUUCUUAAGUCUUUCUUUGCUGUUCAUGAAAUUGAUACUUGAAGAAUACUCUGGUCAGUUAUAUUGUAGAAUGUCUCUCAGUCCAGGAUUACCUGAUGUUUUUUAUUGAGUGGAUUUAGGUUAUGUUUUUUGGCAACAACAUCAUAGAAGUGAUACUGUGUCCUUCUUAGUUCAUCAUCUCAAAAGGUAAAUGAUGUUAAAAUGUCUUAUUACUGAUGAUGUUAUGCCGGAGUCCAGCUCCAGCAAGUCCAGGAGUCCCUGAAGGAUGGACGGCGUAGGUGACUAACUGAAAUGAAUGAGGACAGAGACACUAGCAAAAGUUGGGCCUGGCCUUUAAUGAAAAGUAGCAGCUUGUUUUUAUACUCUUUGAUUACAUAAAGUAAAGUGCAGGCAUUGAUCAUUUAUUUGACACAUAGCAUGGUUACAGGAGUUUGGAAAAUUAGAUUAAAUCACUUGGCCUUAUUCCUAGUUAUUGUGGUCAGAAAAUCUUGCAAAGGUUAGGUAGGUGCCAGACUCUUGGUUUCUUUACAUAUGACUAUCUAAAGUUCACUAUUCUAUUAUUUUUAUGUAGGACCCUCAUUUUUUCAUUGUUAUACUCCCAUUCUUCAUCUCUGGUAGGGAAGAAAGCAGCUCUCUAAAAGGACACGAUGACUUUUUGGCAGGCAGGGACAAAUUUUAUGUACUGUGCCUCAGACCCAUUUUCAGUAAGACUUACAGUGGAGAUUUUUCUAAUCUGGAGUUAGGUAAUGCCCUGUUCUCAUUUGUUUUAUAGUUUGCCAGGCUGUUCUCUGGCAGGCUAGCCAAAGAAUAUCAUUUGUUCUCUGUACCCACCUGUCACCAUUAAUCAUUGAAAAUACCAUUUGGAGGCCACAUAGGGGUGGGGGAAGGGACCUCAACCCAGGUAAAUUUUCCAUAUCUUUUUUCCCAUAAACUUGGGUCCAGUACUCAUGGGGUCUCACUUUCCCAUCAUCGGGGGUAGUCACAAGGGCAGUAGUGGUUUUUUCCAAUUUCCUUUAGGGCCAGUACCCAAAAUUUUCAGGGAGAAAUGGAUAUGGCCUCUUCUCUGAAGGGGCAGCUUGAAUUGAAACCGAAAUAAGCAAAUUUAUUAGGAGGGACAUUUUGAGCAGGAGGGAUAUUGGGGUUUUUCCUUUAGGAAGGACGCUGAGCAGUCCCUUCCAUCCAACUGCCAGGACUGUGUCAUCAGGCUGGUGGUUCAGACUGGCUCCCGACAAUGUUAUCCUUGAACAACUAUUUAACUUAAAGUUUGCUCCACAAGAACUUAAAAGAAAUGCCAAGAAGUGCAAUAAAAAAGAAAAAGCUGAAACGAUAAAGACUAAAAAGUAAGGUAACCAAGUCCAUGGCAGGUGUAAUUAAGUCUAUGGAUGCUACACUGAGGAGUAUAAACCUUGAAAAGAUUCUGCCCUGGUGGACAAAGUUGAAACACUGUAUGUUCAAACACAACAAAUGGAAGACACAAUGAGUACCACUACAACCCUAACACCAUCACAAAGCCAGGUGGAUAUGCUGCUUCAAGAAAUGGCAGAUAAGCAGGGAUCUUGCAGAAGAACACUGCUAUCAUCAGGUCAUUAAGUCUAAAGCCCACUACAAGUCCUACAAACUGAGCAGUAUGUGCAAAAUGUCUUAAGGGGUUGAAAAGAUGACAUUAUUGAAGAUGGUCAUUUGUUUUAUAAAGGCUGGAGGCACCAGGGGAAGAGGUGAGCCUGCUGGACAAGCUCAGGCCUCACCAAACAAGGCGAAGAGACCAACAGGUUCCGGUCUGACAAUGUUCCAGAAACUGAUCAGAUAACAUUCCUAACUAGAGCCCUCCCCAGGCUAGAAGAAUAGUGGUAACUGUCCAGUACCUGGCUAAAAGCCAAUGAGAGACCCCCACGUACCCUAGGCAAGCCAAUCCUCAUGCCACUGUAUACCUUUGCUCUCCCUCCCACUUACUUCUUUAAAAACUUGCUGCCUG
Manis javanica (Malayan pangolin) is the source of this 3847-nucleotide non-coding RNA. NCBI's taxonomy places the organism in Eukaryota, Metazoa, Chordata, Mammalia, Pholidota, Manidae. The record is from RefSeq and is a predicted model, not a curated record.